UACGUAGGCAGCGAGCGUUGUUCGGAGUUACUGGGCGUAAAGAGUGCGUAGGCGGUUUUCUAAGUUUGGUGUGAAAUCCCCGGGCUCAACCCGGGAACUGCGUCCGAUACUGGCAGGCUUGAAUCCGGGAGAGGGAUGUGGAAUUCCAGGUGUAGCGGUGAAAUGCGUAGAUAUCUGGAGGAACACCGGUGGCGAAGGCGGCAUCCUGGACCGGUAUUGACGCUGAUGCGCGAAAGCCAGGGGAGCAAACGGG
RNAcentral lists this ribosomal RNA (253 nucleotides) under uncultured bacterium. RNAcentral describes it as "partial 16S ribosomal RNA". It matches the Rfam family "Bacterial small subunit ribosomal RNA", at positions 524 to 776 of the family's 1533-position model. The record is from RNAcentral.